AACGUAGGAGGCAAGCGUUAUCCGGAUUCACUGGGCGUAAAGCGCGUGCAGGCGGUUCGGUAAGUUGGGCGUGAAAUCUCCUGGCUUAACUAGGAGAGGUCGUUCAAUACUACCGGACUUGAGAGUGGUAGAGGAAGAUGGAAUUCCCGGUGUAGUGGUGAAAUGCGUAGAUAUCGGGAGGAACACCAGUGGCGAAAGCGAUCUUCUGGACCAUUUCUGACGCUCAGACGCGAAAGCUAGGGUAGUAAACGGGAUUAGAGACCCCGGUAAUCCUAGCCGUAAACGAUGUAAACUUGGCGUCGGUGGCUUAAACUCCGUCGGUGCCGCAGCUAACGCGAUAAGUUUACCGCCUGGGGACUACGAUCGCAAGAUUAAA
Molecule: ribosomal RNA, 376 nt
Filed under: uncultured bacterium
Lineage: Bacteria
Description: bacterial SSU rRNA
Rfam family: Bacterial small subunit ribosomal RNA
Source: RNAcentral